AUGUCUACUUUCCCGACUGCCAACCCGCCACCGCGGUUUGGCAACGAUUCUCCCAGUCCCAACAGCUCCUUCCCUUCCUUCCUCCCCAUCGUCAUCGUGUUUACGCUACUGAGCAUAUUGGGAACCAUCGCCAUAGCUGGCUUCCUGUGCAGAUACGUCAAGAAGCACGGCCUCCAUGCCAUCACCAUCAGCACAGGUGCCGCCCCGGUUAGCACGGCACUGUACGCGGUGGCGCCGGACACCCAGAUACGGGACGCCACCGUGGAGAGGUUCCUCAGGGAGAUUGCUGGCGAGAAGCCCAUCCGAUUCACUCCGCAGCAGCUCUCGGGCUUCACCAACAACUACUCUGUCCGGCUCGGCGCUGGUGGCUUCGGUGCCGUUUACAAGGGCAUGCUCCCCAAUGGUCUCACGGUCGCCGUGAAGCGCCUCCACGCCGGACGCCACGACGACAGGACCUCUCAGGAGCAGUUCAUGGCGGAGAUGGGCACCAUCGGGAGGACGCACCACAUCAACCUCGUCAGGCUCUUCGGCUUCUGCUACGAUGCCGCUGACGUGCGCGCUCUGGUGUAUGAGUACAUGGAGCACGGCGCGCUCGAUUCCUACCUCUUCGACCGGAGCCGCCAAGUCUCUUUCCAGACGCUGCAAGACAUCGCCGUUGGCAUUGCCAGGGGGCUCCGGUACCUCCACGAGGAGUGCCAGCAGAAGAUCGUGCACUACGACAUCAAGCCCGGCAACGUGCUCCUCGACGGCAGCCUUACCCCAAAGGUGGCCGACUUCGGCCUUGCGCAGCUGCUGAACCGGGCGGACACCCACAAGAGCGUCUCCGGGAUGCGCGGCACACCAGGUUAUGCCGCACCAGAGAUGUGGAUGCAGGCCGGUGCCACCGUGAAGUGCGACGUGUACAGCUUUGGCAUCCUCCUGUUUGAGAUCCUCGGCCGAAGGAGGAACCUCGACGAGACCGCGCCAGAGAGCCAGCAGUGGUUCCCCAAGCUGGUGUGGGUAAAGUAUGAGAGCGGCCGGCUUCUGGAGGUCGUAGAGACUUGUGACGGCGCGGACAAGCAGGACAAGAAGACGGCGGAGAGGAUGUGUGAGGUGGCGUUCUGGUGCGUGCAGCAGCAGCCGGAGGCGAGGCCUCCGAUGGGGGUGGUGGUGAAGAUGCUUGAAGGCGAGAUGGACAUUGCUCCCCCGGUGAACCCGUUCCAGCAUCUCAUGGCAACGCCGGUGGUGGCAAACAUGUGGACCACCGUGACGAGCAGCGUGAACACGGUCUCGACUGGGGUAGAUAUCGAUGGUGUUUCUCGUGAAAUUUGUUCGACAUAA
This 1320-nucleotide ribosomal RNA is filed under the name Triticum aestivum (bread wheat). RNAcentral describes it as "partial small subunit ribosomal RNA". Lineage: Eukaryota; Viridiplantae; Streptophyta; Magnoliopsida; Poales; Poaceae. The record is from RNAcentral.